RNAcentral lists this ribosomal RNA (338 nucleotides) under uncultured bacterium. RNAcentral's name for it is "bacterial SSU rRNA". It matches the Rfam family "Bacterial small subunit ribosomal RNA", at positions 335 to 662 of the family's 1533-position model. The record is from RNAcentral.
ACUCCUACGGGAGGCAGCAGUGGGGAAUAUUGCACAAUGGGCGCAAGCCUGAUGCAGCCAUGCCGCGUGUAUGAAGAAGGCCUUCGGGUUGUAAAGUACUUUCAGCAGUGAGGAAGGUGAGUGUAGUUAAUAGCUGCAUUUAUUUGACGUUAGCUGCAGAAGAAGCACCGGCUAACUCCGUGCCAGCAGCCGCGGUAAUACGGAGGGUGCGAGCGUUAAUCGGAAUUACUGGGCGUAAAGCGCAUGCAGGUGGUUUGUUAAGUCAGAUGUGAAAGCCCGGGGCUCAACCUCGGAAUAUGACAUUUGAAACUGCAGACUAGAGUACUGGUAGAGGGGGU